This 795-nucleotide ribosomal RNA is filed under the name uncultured bacterium. RNAcentral's name for it is "bacterial SSU rRNA". It matches the Rfam family "Bacterial small subunit ribosomal RNA", at positions 8 to 796 of the family's 1533-position model. The record is from RNAcentral.
AGAGUUUGAUCAUGGCUCAGAUUGAACGCUGGCGGCAUGCCUUACACAUGCAAGUCGAACGGCAGCACGGGUGCUUGCACCUGGUGGCGAGUGGCGAACGGGUGAGUAAUAUAUCGGAACGUACCCUAGAGUGGGGGAUAACGUAGCGAAAGUUACGCUAAUACCGCAUACGAUCUACGGAUGAAAGUGGGGGAUCGCAAGACCUCAUGCUCAUGGAGCGGCCGAUAUCUGAUUAGCUAGUUGGUGGGGUAAAAGCCUACCAAGGCGACGAUCAGUAGCUGGUCUGAGAGGACGACCAGCCACACUGGAACUGAGACACGGUCCAGACUCCUACGGGAGGCAGCAGUGGGGAAUUUUGGACAAUGGGGGCAACCCUGAUCCAGCAAUGCCGCGUGAGUGAAGAAGGCCUUCGGGUUGUAAAGCUCUUUUGUCAGGGAAGAAACGGUGCGGGCUAAUAUCCUGUGCUAAUGACGGUACCUGAAGAAUAAGCACCGGCUAACUACGUGCCAGCAGCCGCGGUAAUACGUAGGGUGCAAGCGUUAAUCGGAAUUACUGGGCGUAAAGCGUGCGCAGGCGGUUAUGUAAGACAGGUGUGAAAUCCCCGGGCUUAACCUGGGAAUUGCAUUUGUGACUGCAUGGCUAGAGUGUGUCAGAGGGGGGUAGAAUUCCACGUGUAGCAGUGAAAUGCGUAGAGAUGUGGAGGAAUACCGAUGGCGAAGGCAGCCCCCUGGGAUAACACUGACGCUCAUGCACGAAAGCGUGGGGAGCAAACAGGAUUAGAUACCCUAGUAGUCC